Long non-coding RNA from Columba livia (rock pigeon), 506 nucleotides. RefSeq lists it as uncharacterized. The transcript has 3 exons. The record is from RefSeq and is a predicted model, not a curated record. NCBI's taxonomy places the organism in Eukaryota, Metazoa, Chordata, Aves, Columbiformes, Columbidae.
CAAAGAAUUGCCUGCACUAAAAGGCAACGACAAAGAGAGCAGGAAAGAUCAAAAACUUUGCUGUUGUCCGCGGAGAUGGUCUGUGAAAAUGAACAAGGCCACACGUCACCUCGUCUGACAACUAAAAUCAGCCAAGCCAGCAUCAGCAGCAACAACCAGUCUGACCUGAGGAGACGCUCCCUCUGGCACCCAACUGCCGUCUGUUUUGAGUACACCCCCAGGCAGUGGAACCUGAUAGCUCUUAAACUUGGUGUAAGAUUUCUCCAAAGUGUGCUGGGAAUGAUGGAUUAUCUCAGUAACAGACUCGUUAGCGACUUCUCUUCAGUUUCUGUUCGUAACACAGAGGUCUGCAAAUAAACAGUAAAAAGAGCAAGAGCUCUGGCCCUUCUUGUUACUUCCAGUGUAAGCAAGGAUGUGCAGACGCCAUGAGUCAGGAGCAGUUGGUAUGUCCUGGAACAAACAUGAUGAAGCAGCAGUGAGGUGCAGCUUUACUGCUGCUUUUACAG